This 145-nucleotide small RNA is filed under the name Canis lupus familiaris (dog). RNAcentral describes it as "microRNA mir-8883 (ENSCAFG00845017696.1)". The record is from RNAcentral. Lineage: Eukaryota; Metazoa; Chordata; Mammalia; Carnivora; Canidae.
GAAAGGACCGGAGUUGCUGAGGAGGAAUGCCUCUGGAGAUUCUGGGUGAGGAUUCACAGGACUUUUGUGGCAUGUGUUGACAGGAGGGCCUCGGAGGUUUGAGUCACUUCACCUGAACGAGCCUGCGUCUCUGCUGAGCCCCGCC